CGGCGGACGGGUGAGUAAUGCUUAGGAAUCUGCCCAGUAGUGGGGGAUAGCCCGGGGAAACCCGGAUUAAUACCGCAUACGUCCUACGGGAGAAAGCAGGGGAUCUUCGGACCUUGCGCUAUUGGAUGAGCCUAAGUCGGAUUAGCUAGUUGGUGGGGUAAAGGCCUACCAAGGCGACGAUCCGUAGCUGGUCUGAGAGGAUGAUCAGCCACAUCGGGACUGAGACACGGCCCGAACUCCUACGGGAGGCAGCAGUGGGGAAUAUUGGACAAUGGGGGCAACCCUGAUCCAGCCAUGCCGCGUGUGUGAAGAAGGCUUUCGGGUUGUAAAGCACUUUCAGUAGGGAGGAAAACCUUAUGGCUAAUACCCAUGAGGCUUGACGUUACCUACAGAAGAAGCACCGGCUAACUCCGUGCCAGCAGCCGCGGUAAUACGGAGGGUGCAAGCGUUAAUCGGAAUUACUGGGCGUAAAGCGCGCGUAGGUGGUUUGGUAAGCGAGAUGUGAAAGCCCCGGGCUUAACCUGGGAACGGCAUUUCGAACUGUCAGACUAGAGUGUGGUAGAGGGUAGUGGAAUUUCCUGUGUAGCGGUGAAAUGCGUA
Molecule: ribosomal RNA, 600 nt
Filed under: Marinobacter nauticus
Lineage: Bacteria; Pseudomonadati; Pseudomonadota; Gammaproteobacteria; Pseudomonadales; Marinobacteraceae
Description: bacterial SSU rRNA
Rfam family: Bacterial small subunit ribosomal RNA
Source: RNAcentral